Molecule: transfer RNA, 67 nt
Filed under: Paragonimus westermani
Lineage: Eukaryota; Metazoa; Platyhelminthes; Trematoda; Plagiorchiida; Troglotrematidae
Description: tRNA-Asp
Source: RNAcentral
ACGACCUUAGUUUAACUCGUGAGAAUGGUAGCUUGUCAUGCUAUGGGAGGGUUUGUCCCAGGUCGUG